Molecule: ribosomal RNA, 1410 nt
Filed under: [Graphium] euwallaceae
Lineage: Eukaryota; Fungi; Ascomycota; Sordariomycetes; Microascales; Graphiaceae
Description: SSU rRNA
Rfam family: Eukaryotic small subunit ribosomal RNA
Source: RNAcentral
AUUGUAGUCAUAUGCUUGUCUCAAAGAUUAAGCCAUGCAUGUCUAAGUAUAAGCAAUUAUACCGCGAAACUGCGAAUGGCUCAUUAUAUAAGUUAUAGUUUAUUUGAUAGCACCUUACUACAUGGAUAACUGUGGUAAUUCUAGAGCUAAAACAUGCUAAAAAUCCCGACUUCGGAAGGGAUGUGUUUAUUAGAUUAAAAACCAAUGCCCUUCGGGGCUGCUUGGUGAUUCAUAAUAACCUCUCGAAUCGCACGGCCUUGCGCCGGCGAUGGUUCAUUCAAAUUUCUUCCCUAUCAACUUUCGAUGCGAAGGUAUUGUCUUCGCAUGGUUACAACGGGUAACGGAGGGUUAGGGCUCGACCCCGGAGAAGGAGCCUGAGAAACGGCUACUACAUCCAAGGAAGGCAGCAGGCGCGCAAAUUACCCAAUCCCGACACGGGGAGGUAGUGACAAUAAAUACUGAUACAGGGCUCUUUUGGGUCUUGUAAUUGGAAUGAGUACAAUUUAAAUCCCUUAACGAGGAACAAUUGGAGGGCAAGUCUGGUGCCAGCAGCCGCGGUAAUUCCAGCUCCAAUAGCGUAUAUUAAAGUUGUUGUGGUUAAAAAGCUCGUAGUUGAACCUUGGGCCUGGCUGGCCGGUCCCCCUCACCGGGUGCACUGGUCCGGCCGGGCCUUUCCCUCUGUGGAACCGCAUGCCCUUCACUGGGUGUGCCGGGGAAACAGGACUUUUACUUUGAAAAAAUUAGAGUGCUCCAGGCAGGCCUAUGCUCGAAUACAUUAGCAUGGAAUAAUAGAAUAGGACGUGUGGUUCUAUUUUGUUGGUUUCUAGGACCGCCGUAAUGAUUAAUAGGGACAGUCGGGGGCAUCAGUAUUCAAUUGUCAGAGGUGAAAUUCUUGGAUCUAUUGAAGACUAACUACUGCGAAAGCAUUUGCCAAGGAUGUUUUCAUUGAUAAGGAACGAAAGUUAGGGGAUCGAAGACGAUCAGAUACCGUCGUAGUCUUAACUAUAAACUAUGCCGACUAGGGAUCGGACGGUGUUUAUACUUGACCCGUUCGGCACCUUUCGAGAAAUCAAAGUGCUUGGGCUCCAGGGGGAGUAUGGUCGCAAGGCUGAAACUUAAAGAAAUUGACGGAAGGGCACCACCAGGGGUGGAGCCUGCGGCUUAAUUUGACUCAACACGGGGAAACUCACCAGGUCCAGACACAAUGAGGAUUGACAGAUUGAGAGCUCUUUCUUGAUUUUGUGGGUGGUGGUGCAUGGCCGUUCUUAGUUGGUGGAGUGAUUUGUCAGCUUAAUUGCGAUAACGAACGAGACCUUCUUCUGCUAAAUAGCCCGAACUGCUUUGGCAGUCCGCCGGCUUCUUAGAGAGACUAUCGGCUCAAGCCGAUGGAAGUUGGAGGCAAUAACAGGU